GGACCUUUAGCUCAGUUGGUCAGAGCAGACGGCUCAUAACCGUCUGCUCAUAGGUUCAAAUCCUAUAAGGUCCA
RNAcentral lists this transfer RNA (74 nucleotides) under Bacillus thuringiensis. RNAcentral describes it as "tRNA-Met". It matches the Rfam family "tRNA". From Rfam's summary of the family: Transfer RNA (tRNA) molecules are approximately 80 nucleotides in length. Their secondary structure includes four short double-helical elements and three loops (D, anti-codon, and T loops). The record is from RNAcentral. Lineage: Bacteria; Bacillati; Bacillota; Bacilli; Caryophanales; Bacillaceae.